UCCAGGAAGUAUCGAGUAUUUGUAUAUGUGUAUGUAUGUGCAUGUGGUGUGUAUAUGUAGAUGCAGUAUGUAGAUAUAUUUUAAUAUUCCCUGAUUGAGGUUAUUUGUAAAUAAACAGGAGGCAGAGAUAAUAGUGGUUUGGGUGCAGUAGUAAUUAUUGUAGUCCUCUUCCCUUAUCUGCGGCUUCGCUUUCCACAGUUUCAGUUCCCCGGGGAUCAAAAGCAGUCGGGAAACAGAUGAUCCUCCUUAUGACGAAUCCGCAGAAGGUCAAUAGGCGCCUAGCGCUACGUCACGGCACUUACGUCAGGGCACCUACGUCACAGCGCCUGCGUCACUCACCUCACUUCGCCUCAUCGCGGGAGCAUUUCAUCACCUCACGUGGUCACAAGAAGGUUUCUGCAGGUCAGAACUUCAGACAGGCACAGUGGGAUGGAUUGUCCCUGUUCUAGGAUGACUGUGUUAUCAGCUGGAAGACUUCACAGCUGGGGACUAGAAUCAUCUGAAGACUCAUCCACCCACAUGUUUGGUUGUUGAUGCUGGCUGUCAGAUCUCAGUGAAUACAACAAAGCCCAAAUACAUAACCAAACGGACUUGAACUUUCCUCAUUGGUCUGGAGCAUCCGAUUCCCAGUAAUGGUCCAAGGAUCCCUGGGGGGGCACAGCCCACAUGCAACUAGCUCAGGAGCAUUCUGGGACUCAGUGCCUCAUGACUCGCCUCAUUGUGAGAAUUCUGCAGCUGAAUUUCCCAGCAGGGAUCAUUAAUCACACCAGCCACUGAUAUCACAAACAACAGAGAACCCAGCUGCCAUGCUGCAUGGAGAAGACAAAUGGACGGGAAUUGAGGCACUCUGGUUGACAGUCUCACUGAGCAUCCAGCUGACCCCAGCCACCGACCAGGUGAGUAAACCAUCUUGGAUGGUCCAUCCCAAUUGAGUCCCCAGAUAACUGUAUUUCCAGCCAACACAAUACAGAGCCGAAGAAUCACCCAGCAGAACCCAGUCAACCCAGAAAAUCAGGAGAGAUAGUCAAAUGGUUGUUGACUGAAGUCACUAAAUCUUGGGUGGUUUGUUAUGCAUCAAUACAUAACUGAAGGAGACAUUGGUACCUAGAUGUAGGGUGCUGAGGUAAUAUAAAUGUAAAACAUGUGGCAAUGGCCUUGGAACCAGGCCACGGCUAGAGGCCUGAUGAAGCACCUCUAGGAGACUGUAAACAGAGGCUGGAAGGACAGUGAGAAAAUUGCUAGUGGAGGCAGGAGAAAAUGGAACUUGAAUAUUGAACUGCCAGAACAAUUAGCAAAAUGUCCCCUUCAGUAACAUGGAGGUAGAAGCAGAGCCUAAUGAACCCAUCAAUCUGGUGAAGGAGAUUUCCAGGUAGAAUGUUGAAAGUGGCAACUACUUUUACUAGCUCAGCACUAAUUAUUUUUAUUAAUCAAAAUGUAAUAAAAUUAAAAAUCCAUUCCCUCAAUUGCUCUAGUCACAUUAUGACUUAUGAGUACUUAACAAGUCAUAUAUGGCUACCCUGCUGGAGAAUGCAGACUAUUAUAGAGCGUUUCCACCACCACAGAAACAUCUAUUUGACUUCCCUCCUCAAGUGUUAGUAGGCAGGAAGUAGACAACACACUCAAAGAGUGUUGAGUAACCAAGGGACUGUUAUCAAAAUGUGGUAUCUCCUGAGAGGUUGUGUGAAAGAAAAACUUCUCAGACCCCAUCCAGACCUAUGGAAUCAGAAUCUCAGGUUGCGGGUGAGGGUUGAGGGGUGGGGGGUUGAGCAGGAAUCUGUAGUUUAACAAGCCUUUCAAGUGAUUCUUAUGCACAUUAAACUUUAAGAAGUACUAAAGAGAAUUUAAUAAAGGGACUGCUGUAGAGUUGAGGGCUGGGUUAAGAGAAGCAGCAAGGGAAACCAGAGAAGCAGAGAAGAAACCAGACAGUAUUAGUGGGACACUAGGACAGCUGGAGCCCUGGAAGGCAGCUGAGGGACACAAUGGGUCCAGAGCAGGCAUAAGGCAAGAAGAUUAGGGGAGUGGGGAAAAUACUCUCACGUCUGUCUCUUCUGCCCUCUGAUUUUUCACUGGAGUCCCUGUUGACCCCAACCAGCCCAAAGCUAGAGAACAAAGAAGGCUCUUCUAUACAGAGCAGGGCAGAGGGGAGUGGAGAAUGGAUAUGGAGGGACAAAUGAGAUUGAGCCAGCACACAUGGUUUUGAUGUGUUAGCUGUAUUUUAAAAAUACACAUUUGACUGAUUGUAUAACUAUUAACAUUAAAAAGAUGUUACUACCUUUCAAAAUCAUGUCAGUUGCAUCGUCUCCGGGAACCAUGUUGUUAAUAAUGAGGUCUGUCCAGGUAAUUUUAAGAAGGGUAAUAAUAGCUAUUAGUGUUUCUUUCCAGUUUAUUUUUUCCUCCCCUCCCUUCCCCAUUUCCAUUCCCUUCCUUUUUCCCACCCUAUCCUUCUCUUCCCUCUCUCCUCUCUCUAGUCAUCUUUAUAUUAUGUAACAAUAUUAUAGUAAAUAAAGUGUUGUGCCAUGUCUUUUUCAUUUAAAGUUACGUUUUGAACAUUUCCUUGUGCCAUUAAGGAUUCUCUGAAAACAUGUUUUUCAGUGGCUGUGCAGAUGGUUUAAAGAUGAUUGUUAUUGUAAGCUGUCUCAAAUCCUUUUGGGAAGUAGGUGGUGUAUAAUGCAUAAAUUAUAAAUGAAAAGCAAGUUGUUCUUAAUUUUACUCUCAACCUCUAAAGUGCAGUAGCUCUUUGUGGAUCUGUUUCUCUAAAGCCACAGAGACACAAAGGGUAGUGACAAUGAUCAAAAAGGAGCCACAUGGUGGAAAAGUGUUGAACUAGGGUCCUGUGCUUAGGUGUCUCUGUCCAGUUUCUGCUCCUGUGACCUAAGAUGUGGGUGCUUAGACCAACUGAAGUUCAAGGUCUCUUUUAGUUCCAUCUCUGAUUUCUCAGACAAAUCUAAUGCCCCCUUAGGUAGAAAAAAGUCUUAGAUUUCAGGGACCUCCUCCAUGAUGUCCUAGUCCCAGGAACUAUCCUCCCUCACCUGCACAACACCAAUCCCCUCCCUUCAGUGGUCUUCUCCUCCCAUUCUUGCCCUCCAUCUGUUCUCCACAAGGCAGCUAGAGUGAUCUGUAAAAGACUAUGGCAGGUAAUGGCGCUCAUCUUAUUCUUUGUCAUGGUGAAUGAGUCCCCACGUGAUCAGGUGCCCCACCACCUCUCUGAUUCCAUUUUCUAUUUCUCCCUUGAGCACUCCACCCCAGCUAAAUCCAUUAACCAUUCUCUCACUCAAGAGCCUUUAUACCUGCUGUUCCCUUUGCUUGGAAUGCUGUUCCGUCACAUUUCCUCACAGCUCAUAUUUACCAGAGAUGUCUUUUUUGACUACCCUCAAUAACAUAGCCUUAAUUUCCAUCAUUCCCUAUACCUUUCUGCAGUUUUAUUUUCUUUCAUGGCACUUAUCCUGGACAUGAUAUCUGUAGGGGCUUAUUUACUUACUAUUUGUCUAUCUCCACUAGCAUAUAGGUUCCAGGAGAGCUUGGUCCAUUUUAUUCAUUGCUACUUUGAAGUGAAAUUAGUAAGUUCUCGGUAAGUGCACUUAGUGGGAAGUGAAUAAAAAAAGCUUCCUGAGGAAAGUCAGUGUUCAGGAGGAAAAGAUGCCCAAACACCUCAGCUUCAUGGUUGGCAUAGAUAGAUUGAUUCUCAGCCCCUGCUUAGGGCUUUUUCCAUUCCCUCAGGCCACCUCCUAACAGCUCCUCCUGGCAUCCCCUCCAGCUUUUUGCCCCCAUUGUAACUCUCCUCUUGCUCACCCCUGUCCCACUAAGGGGUCUGUGGUCCCCUCUGCACCUCACAGAGUAUUGCAACAACCACUUUUCUUGUUUUCAUGGUAUUUCAUGGCUUAUAAUACCCUAUACUGCAUGCGAUUUCCUUUACUGCUGCAGCAGUUCCUGGAGAUAGGAGCUAGUGUCUUUAUUUUAGUCACUUGUUCAGGCAGCACAGUUUAUUGGGCACCUACUCUUGUGGGGACUUGGGGACAGUGAUGAAUAGGCAGAGAUAGUUCCUGCUCUCAUUGAGCUCAACAUCUGGCAGAGGCGACAGACAUGAAACACAUAAUGGGGUAAAUAUUUCCUAAUAUUACAAUUAACCUAAGUUCUGUGGAGGAGAAACGGGUAACCACUUAUUGAGUAUCUCUGUAUCUCUUGUAGUUAGUAUCAUUUUAUCUUCACCUCAACCCUCUUAGGUGAGACUAAUAUGAGACCUGUUUUACAGAUGGGGAGAUCUAGUCUCAGAGGACACU
Felis catus (domestic cat) is the source of this 4277-nucleotide long non-coding RNA. RefSeq lists it as uncharacterized. The record is from RefSeq and is a predicted model, not a curated record. The transcript is spliced from 4 exons. Lineage: Eukaryota; Metazoa; Chordata; Mammalia; Carnivora; Felidae.